AGCGAACGCUGGCGGCAGGCCUAACACAUGUAAGUCGAACGAACCUUUCGGGGUUAGUGGCGGACGGGUGAGUAACACGUGGGAACGUGCCUUUAGGUUCGGAAUAACUCAGGGAAACUUGUGCUAAUACCGAAUGUGCCCUUCGGGGGAAAGAUUAAUCGCCUUUAGAGCGGCCCGCGUCUGAUUAGCUAGUUGGUUGAGGUAAUGGCUCACCAAGGCGACGAUCAGUAGCUGGUCUGAGAGGAUGAUCAGCCACAUUGGGACUGAGACACGGCCCAAACUCCUACGGGAGGCAGCAGUGGGGAAUCUUGCGCAAUGGGCGAAAGCCUGACGCAGCCAUGCCGCGUGAAUGAUGAAGGUCUUAGGAUUGUAAAAUUCUUUCACCGGGGACGAUAAUGACGGUACCCGGAGAAGAAGCCCCGGCUAACUUCGUG
RNAcentral lists this ribosomal RNA (434 nucleotides) under uncultured bacterium. RNAcentral's name for it is "partial 16S ribosomal RNA". It matches the Rfam family "Bacterial small subunit ribosomal RNA", at positions 29 to 507 of the family's 1533-position model. The record is from RNAcentral.